UACUUCCCGGAAGAGGCCGACGCGGUGCGGCGCCUUGUCAGCCCGCUCGACGAUGGCGCGCCACCGCUGAGCGAGGCAGCGGCGUCGGCC
This 90-nucleotide non-coding RNA is filed under the name Kryptoperidinium foliaceum. The record is from RNAcentral. Lineage: Eukaryota; Dinophyceae; Peridiniales; Kryptoperidiniaceae.